UCGUGGGUAGCUUAAUUGGUAAAGCACCAGAUUGUGGCUCUGGCAAAUGUGGGUUCAAAUCCCAUCUCACGAG
RNAcentral lists this transfer RNA (73 nucleotides) under Bacteroidaceae bacterium. RNAcentral's name for it is "tRNA-His". It matches the Rfam family "tRNA". From Rfam's summary of the family: Transfer RNA (tRNA) molecules are approximately 80 nucleotides in length. Their secondary structure includes four short double-helical elements and three loops (D, anti-codon, and T loops). Further hydrogen bonds mediate the characteristic L-shaped molecular structure. tRNAs have two regions of fundamental functional importance: the anti-codon, which is responsible for specific mRNA codon recognition, and the 3' end, to which the tRNAs corresponding amino acid is attached (by aminoacyl-tRNA synthetases). tRNAs cope with the degeneracy of the genetic code in two manners: having more than one tRNA (with a specific anti-codon) for a particular amino acid; and 'wobble' base-pairing, i.e. permitting non-standard base-pairing at the 3rd anti-codon position. The record is from RNAcentral. Lineage: Bacteria; Pseudomonadati; Bacteroidota; Bacteroidia; Bacteroidales; Bacteroidaceae.